UAAACAGGGAACAGUAACUGGAUCCUACUGCCUUACCUCUGCCACUCUUCAGAACUAGGAAAAACAAGAAAAAAUACAAGAUUUUCCCCCCACAGUUUAUGCACCUUACUUGAAGUAAAUCAUUUUCAAAAAGAGGAAAUUGAGGAAAAACUUUUCAAGAUCAUAGCUACAAAGUGGGAGAGCCAGAAUUUAAAUCCAGACCUCUCCGGUCUCUGAGACCAUACGCUUGCCUGAAGUCUGAAACUGGUAAAUGUCCACAGCUCUGCAUGAGAUGAACGUCCAGACAUUCAUAGGUGGAGAGAGCAGACCCAGCCCAACAGAAUACAACAGAAGGCUGACUGUAAAAACUAACAAAUGGUUGAAAUAUGAAGACAGAUGAGAAUGCAACCAGAGAUGUUCUCAUAGAGUAGGGAAAAUUCAAACCAGGUCUUGAAGGAUUUCUCCAGGUAAAAAAGGCGUGUCAGACAAAGGAAAAUAGCAAAGGUGGAAAGACCCAAAUGUGGAUAGAGCAUCUGGAAAACCAAAAGCGCUCCUGUAGGCUAGAGCUCAAGCUUGUGGAAAGAAGAGCUCCGGGCAGUCCAUACAGGAAGUUUCUGGCAGCAGGGUCCACUGAAGACUCUGCCAAAUGGUUUGGAUCACACUGAGCUGGCCUCUCAUCCCACCUCCACUACUUGUGAAGCUGAGACCUUUCUCAAUAGAGCCACCAAUCUGAAUCUCAGGGAAAUAUACAACAACAGUAUAUUUAAAGAACUUAAAGGAGAUGAAACAAAUAGAACAUUAUUCUAGCCUCUAUGCAUAGUAGGUACACAGAAGAACAUUACUUUUCUCAUUACAAAAUUAAAUAUGUUUACUGGAGUAAAUUGGAAAAAUAAAAAAGUAAAUGGAAAAAUAUUACUGACACCUAUACUCUCUCUACCCAGAGACGGUCAUUGUUAAUGUCCUAAUGUGUAUCCUUCCAGUCUUUUCUUAGUGUGUGAUUAGUCUAUGAUCAUACAAAAAUAAAAUAUGAUAAACAUUUCCAUUAUCCUCAAACAUUUUAAUAGUCCUAUAAUUUUCUGUUUUUAGUGCAUAUUUAACCUAAUAAUAUAAUAAUUACCAUCAUUUUGAGAGCUUUGAUUCUUCUGAGCUGUGGAUAUUCAUGGCUUACAUAUUUUUCUUGGCUUACAUAUAUUUAUAUAUUUACCAAGGUAAUGCAUGUUAUAUAUUUUUAAAAGUUAUACUUUUCACCAUGCUUGUAAAGGAAAACAUCAAUGCUUGACCCAUCUUUCCUUCUUUCUGAUUCUUACUUCCCAGAGGCAACCACUUUCAACUGCUUUAGCUGUUUUCUUUGAUAGUUAUGUCCAUAUU
Long non-coding RNA from Mustela erminea (ermine), 1347 nucleotides. RefSeq lists it as uncharacterized. The transcript has 3 exons. NCBI's taxonomy places the organism in Eukaryota, Metazoa, Chordata, Mammalia, Carnivora, Mustelidae. The record is from RefSeq and is a predicted model, not a curated record.